GCAAGUCGAACGGUAACAGGCCGCUGUGAUUCCUUCGGGAUGAACUUGGCGCUGACGAGUGGCGGACGGGUGAGUAACGCGUAGGAAUCUGCCCAGUAGUGGGGGACAACUUGGGGAAACCCAAGCUAAUACCGCAUACGCCCCAAGGGGGAAAGCGGGGGAUCUUCGGACCUCGCGCUAUUGGAUGAGCCUGCGUCGGAUUAGCUUGUUGGUGAGGUAAAGGCUCACCAAGGCGACGAUCCGUAGCUGGUCUGAGAGGACGAUC
Molecule: ribosomal RNA, 265 nt
Filed under: uncultured bacterium
Lineage: Bacteria
Description: partial 16S ribosomal RNA
Rfam family: Bacterial small subunit ribosomal RNA
Source: RNAcentral